ACUAGUGAGAGUGCGGGAGUGGGUGACUAGUGACAGAGGGAAGGAUGGGUUGACUAGUGACAGUCACCACCUCCCUCACUCUGUCACUAAUCACCAUCUCCCUCUGUCACUAGUCACCCCCUCCCUCACUCUGUCACU
Molecule: non-coding RNA, 138 nt
Organism: Pelobates cultripes (western spadefoot toad)
Lineage: Eukaryota; Metazoa; Chordata; Amphibia; Anura; Pelobatidae
Source: the annotation of a GenBank genome assembly